AAACUUUCUUACGGUCUCCUUGUUCUUCUAGCUUGAGGGAAAAAAAAAUGGUGGUUCAACAAGAACAGUUUCUGCUGGUUACAGUAUCCUUGCAGGGCCACUUGAACCCUAUGCUUAGGCUUGCCAAACGCCUUGUUUCAAAAGGCAUUAAUGUCACCAUUGCCACUAAUGACCAAGUUGCAAGCCACCGGAUGCUCAAGUCUACCAAAGACUCCACCAAUAAUUUGCCUGCUGCUGCCCUGAACACCACUCCUCAACCCGCUGGAAUCAGUCUUGUGUUCUUCUCUGAUGGCCUCAGUCCGGAAUUUGAACGCAACAAGGAUGUUGAUUCGUUUAUCAAGUCCCUGAGGACGACAGGAGCCAAAAACCUGUCAAAUCUCAUAGCCGAUUUCAUAGCGCAGGGCAAGAAAUUUUCUUGCAUUAUCUGCAAUCCUUUCAUGCCAUGGGUGCCUGAUAUUGCUGCUGAACAUGGCAUCCCUUGUGCUGUGCUUUGGAUCCAAGCAUGCACUGUCUUAUCUGUUUACUAUCAUUACUUCAAGCAUUCCAAUUUGUUUCCUUCAAUUGAGAACACGGAUGAGUCCUUAGAGUUGCCUGGAGUGCCAGUUUUGCAGGUAAAAGAUCUUCCCUCCUUCAUUUUCCCAUCAAGUCCCCCCAUAUUCUGUGAAACACUAUUUCAUUUUGUUCAAAACUUGGAUAAGAUAAAAUGGGUUUUAGUGAAUUCUUUUGCUGAAAUAGAGGAGGAGACAGUGAAGUACAUGGCUUGUCUCCAUCCUAUUUAUCCCAUUGGCCCAUUGGUGUCUCCAUUUCUGUUAGGAGAAGAAGAAAAGACUAUUGGCAGUGUUGAUAUGUGGGAUGCUGAAAGUUCUUGCGUCGAGUGGCUUGAUCAGAAACCACCAUCAUCGGUCAUUUACAUUUCCUUUGGCAGCAUAAGCGCGUUGUCUCAAAAACAAAUGGAUAACUUAGCCAUGGGAUUAAAGAAUAGCAACAGACCAUUUCUUUGGGUGAUUAAGCCUCGAGAGAAAAAUUCUGAGGAGAAAGGAGGUGAAUUGCCUGCUACGUUCUUGGAGGAGACCAAGGGAAGGGGCAUGGUAGUGACAUGGUGCUCACAAGAGAAGGUAUUAAUGCACCAAGCCGUGGCAUGCUUCAUUACACAUUGUGGGUGGAACUCGGCGCUGGAGACGGUGGUAGCAGGGGUGCCUGUCAUUGCUUAUCCGGGGUGGACAGAUCAGCCAACAGUUGCUAAGUUUUUGGUUGAUGUUUUAAAGAUAGGUUCCAGGAUAAAAGUUGAAGAUGAGGUUGCAAGCGCAGGAGAGGUAGAAAGGUGCAUUGUUGAGGUCACUGAUGGACCAAAAGCGGAAGAGAUGAAGAAAAGGGCGUUGGAAUUGAGUGAGGCAGCCAAGAAAGUGGCGGCGGAUGGUGGAUCUUCUGAUCAGAACAUUACUGGGUUUAUCAGUGAGAUAAUUGGUGGUCAUUCCUGCAAAGUGUGAAAGAGGUGGAAGAAAAGGAAAAUUUUUAAAAUGCUUAAGAAAGUUGCAGUAGUCCAAGUAGUGUUAGUAAUUACUAAUCAAAUAAAUUAAUCUUUCCAUAUAGGUAAAAGUAUUAGUAGUGCAAGUAAUUACUAAUCACAGAAAUCUUUCCAAAUCUGGAGGUCAAGCUUUCUCUUGAUAUGCUGUCACCUUCUGCCUUCUGAAAAAAGCUUGACCUAUGUUACUUGCUCCUAAUUAUGAAUGUGCGUAUCUAUUAAUGUUGAAAUAAAGAGAAA
Molecule: unclassified non-coding RNA, 1762 nt
Filed under: Hevea brasiliensis (rubber tree)
Lineage: Eukaryota; Viridiplantae; Streptophyta; Magnoliopsida; Malpighiales; Euphorbiaceae
Source: RNAcentral